AUGCGAUUCAACCAUAUGUGGAAGUUGCCUCUGUUGAAAGAGGAAUGGAUUAGCUGUGCAUAAAAUGCAAAAUCCCUGUAGCAAGAGAAGAAAGGGGACCAUCUGACCCCUGAGAGCUGUUAAAAUCAAGGAGCCAGAAAGACUUCUGGUGUUUGUUAAAGAAUGCCAUCGUUGCAGGGUGAUCAAGGUAUCUUUGAAAGGCAGUAGAAGAGUGGCUCGUUCACCCCAGUUACAAUGAAGGAAGCUAUAACCUACAUUGGGAACAGAAUAUAAAGCAGUUCUAACAAGCAUAAUUUUUUGCAAGCAAUUAAUCAAAAUGUAUUUAGCAAGUCAUUUCCAAUGAUAAUCAACAGACCUGCUUAAAACAAUAACCAUUUGGCAAUGACAACACUGUUCGUUCUGAUGUAAGUGGGCUUUGAUGCUUGAAAUAAAACA
This is a long non-coding RNA of Python bivittatus (Burmese python), 435 nucleotides long. RefSeq lists it as uncharacterized. The record is from RefSeq and is a predicted model, not a curated record. NCBI's taxonomy places the organism in Eukaryota, Metazoa, Chordata, Lepidosauria, Squamata, Pythonidae.